GGGGGUAUAGCUUAGUCGUAGAGCACAUGCUUGGUGUGCCUGAGGUCCUAGGUUCAAUCCCCAGUACCUUCA
This 72-nucleotide transfer RNA is filed under the name Camelus bactrianus (Bactrian camel). It matches the Rfam family "tRNA". From Rfam's summary of the family: Transfer RNA (tRNA) molecules are approximately 80 nucleotides in length. Their secondary structure includes four short double-helical elements and three loops (D, anti-codon, and T loops). RNAcentral also lists the same sequence under 2 other names. The record is from Rfam by way of RNAcentral. Lineage: Eukaryota; Metazoa; Chordata; Mammalia; Artiodactyla; Camelidae.